Sitophilus oryzae (rice weevil) is the source of this 463-nucleotide long non-coding RNA. RefSeq lists it as uncharacterized. The record is from RefSeq and is a predicted model, not a curated record. The transcript has 4 exons. NCBI's taxonomy places the organism in Eukaryota, Metazoa, Arthropoda, Insecta, Coleoptera, Curculionidae.
GUUUCACUUUAAAGAACAAGAUGUUAAAGUUUGUGAUAAAAUUGUCAUCAGAAAUACUGUCCACUUCAGUAUUUACAUAGGAAAAUAUUGGAGGAUGAAGCUCUACCUACUGCCUCAGGUUAAUUUAAAUUCUGAAUUGCAACAACAGCAACAAGCAAGAAGGGCGCCAUUAAAUGAAUAUUAUACACAUAAAGCAACAACACAAUAAAAAACCAAAAUAUGAACACCAGCAACUAAAACAGGAACCAUUAAAUGAAUAUUACACACAGCAAUAACAGCAUCAAAUAAUGGAAAUAAUGGACCCUACUGCUCAAAUCAAAAACAAAAUUUCAUCAUUACCACUUUAUUGGUUAUAUCAAUAAAAGAAAUUAUUGAGUUUAUGAGUCUAGAUCCUACAAGCAAGCAGAUCUAUCACAUAAUUUAAAAUGAAGAUUUAUCUAUUAUAGUAAUUUAUUCUAAUAAU